Molecule: transfer RNA, 74 nt
Filed under: Trichonephila inaurata madagascariensis
Lineage: Eukaryota; Metazoa; Arthropoda; Arachnida; Araneae; Nephilidae
Rfam family: tRNA
About the family: Transfer RNA (tRNA) molecules are approximately 80 nucleotides in length. Their secondary structure includes four short double-helical elements and three loops (D, anti-codon, and T loops).
Source: Rfam by way of RNAcentral
GGCAUCCUGGCUUAGUUGGUUAAAGUACCUGUCUAGUAAACAGGAGAUCACGAGUUUUAAUCUCGUCGGUGCUU